CAGCCGCCACGGGAAUACGGAGGGGGCUAGCGUUGUUCGGAAUUACUGGGCGUAAAGCGCACGUAGGCGGCUUGGUAAGUUAGAGGUGAAAGCCCGGAGCUCAACUCCGGAAUUGCCUUUAAGACUGCCGAGCUAGUAGGUGAGAGAGGUAAGUGGAAUUCCGAGUGUAGGGGUGAAAUUCGUAGAUAUUCGGAAGGACACCAGUGGCGAAGGCGGCUUACUGGCUCAUUUUAGACGCUGAGGUGCGAAAGCGUGGGGAGCAAACAGGAUUAGAUACCCCAGUAGUCCCUGUCUCUUAUAC
RNAcentral lists this ribosomal RNA (301 nucleotides) under uncultured bacterium. RNAcentral describes it as "partial 16S ribosomal RNA". It matches the Rfam family "Bacterial small subunit ribosomal RNA", at positions 509 to 807 of the family's 1533-position model. The record is from RNAcentral.